This 208-nucleotide ribosomal RNA is filed under the name uncultured Eubacteriales bacterium. Its description in RNAcentral is "uncultured Clostridiales bacterium partial 16S ribosomal RNA". It matches the Rfam family "Bacterial small subunit ribosomal RNA", at positions 568 to 775 of the family's 1533-position model. Lineage: Bacteria; Bacillati; Bacillota; Clostridia; Eubacteriales. The record is from RNAcentral.
CACGUAGGCGGGACCUUAAGUCAGGUGUGAAAGACCGUGGCUCAACCACGGGGUUGCACUUGAAACUGGGGAUCUUGAGGGCAGGAGAGGAAAGUGGAAUUCCUGGUGUAGCGGUGAAAUGCGUAGAAAUCAGGAGGAACACCGGUGGCGAAGGCGACUUUCUGGACUGACCCUGACGCUGAGGUGCGAAAGCGUGGGUAGCAAACAG